This 443-nucleotide ribosomal RNA is filed under the name uncultured bacterium. RNAcentral's name for it is "partial 16S ribosomal RNA". It matches the Rfam family "Bacterial small subunit ribosomal RNA", at positions 338 to 795 of the family's 1533-position model. The record is from RNAcentral.
ACUACGGGAGGCAGCAGUGGGGAAUAUUGCACAAUGGGCGAAAGCCUGAUGCAGCAACGCCGCGUGAAGGAAGAAGGGUUUCGGCUCGUAAACUUCUAUCAACAGGGACGAAAGAAAUGACGGUACCUGUAUAAGAAGCCCCGGCUAACUACGUGCCAGCAGCCGCGGUAAUACGUAGGGGGCAAGCGUUAUCCGGAAUUACUGGGUGUAAAGGGUGAGUAGGCGGCAUGGUAAGCCAGAUGUGAAAGCCUUGGGCUUAACCCGAGGAUUGCAUUUGGAACUAUCAAGCUAGAGUACAGGAGAGGAAAGCGGAAUUCCUAGUGUAGCGGUGAAAGGCGUAGAUAUUAGGAAGAACACCAGUGGCGAAGGCGGCUUUCUGGACUGAAACUGACGCUGAGGCACGAAAGCGUGGGGAGCGAACAGGAUUAGAUACCCCAGUAGUC